This is a non-coding RNA of Tulasnella sp. UAMH 9824, 87 nucleotides long. Lineage: Eukaryota; Fungi; Basidiomycota; Agaricomycetes; Cantharellales; Tulasnellaceae. The record is from the annotation of a GenBank genome assembly.
CCCUUUGUAGCUCAGCUGGAAGAGCGUGGGACUGUAAUGGAUCACGUGACCAUCCCAAGGCCAUCGGUUCGAUCCCGAUCGAAGGGA